This 814-nucleotide ribosomal RNA is filed under the name uncultured bacterium. RNAcentral describes it as "bacterial SSU rRNA". It matches the Rfam family "Bacterial small subunit ribosomal RNA", at positions 8 to 796 of the family's 1533-position model. The record is from RNAcentral.
AGAGUUUGAUCCUGGCUCAGAAUGAACGCUGGCGGCGUGCUUAACACAUGCAAGUCGAACGAGAAAGGGAUUGCUUGCAAUCCUGAGUAGAGUGGCGCACGGGUGAGUAACACGUAGAUAAUCUACCUUUGAGCCCGGGAUAACUAAUCGAAAGGUUAGCUAAUACCGGAUGAGGUCAAUAGAUAUAAGUUUAUUGAUGAAAGAUUGCCUAUCCAUGGAAGCAAUUGUUUGGAGAUGAGUUUGCGGACCAUUAGCUUGUUGGUGGGGUAAAGGCCUACCAAGGCGAUGAUGGUUAGCUGGUCUGAGAGGAUGAUCAGCCACACUGGAACUGAAACACGGUCCAGACUCCUACGGGAGGCAGCAGUGAGGAAUUUUGCGCAAUGGGGGCAACCCUGACGCAGCAACGCCGCGUGAGUGAUGAAGGCUUUCGGGUCGUAAAGCUCUGUCGAUGGGAAAGAAGUGUAAGGUGGUUAAUACCCGCUUUACUUGACGGUACCCAUAAAGGAAGCACCGGCUAACUCCGUGCCAGCAGCCGCGGUAAUACGGGGGGUGCAAGCGUUGUUCGGAAUUAUUGGGCGUAAAGCGCGUGUAGGCGGUUUGAUUAGUCUGAUGUGAAAGCCCUGGGCUCAACCCAGGAAGUGCAUUGGAAACUGUCAGACUUGAAUACGGGAGAGGGUAGUGGAAUUCCUAGUGUAGGAGUGAAAUCCGUAGAUAUUAGGAGGAACACCGGUGGCGAAGGCGGCUACCUGGACCGAUAUUGACGCUGAGACGCGAAAGCGUGGGUAGCAAACAGGAUUAGAUACCCUGGUAGUCC